GCAGGUUACAUGGUGGUAUUGUUGCAUUUUUCACACAUCAGAAGAACAGUGGUGCUUAAAGCUAACAUUGUUUUCUAGUUAAGCAUUUUCAAUUUGAUUUCCAAUAUCAGAAGAAAUGGAUGAAACUGACAUUGUUUUCUGUUUAAAUAUUGUUUUUCUAUUUGACUUAACAAACUUGUCUGUUAUCUUUGGCUUAGUGAUACUACCCAGCGUGUGUGAUAAUAGAGAUUGGAAAAGGGCUAUUUAAAAAAGUCCUUAGCAGACUUAGCUUAUGGCAAAAUUUACAACAUUUAGCCUAAUACAACACCCAAUAAAUACAUCACUGUAUUUCUACAAUACUGAUGUUUCACUGAAGAUCUUGGAAGUAGGUUUUGUGCUUUGUUACAGUCGGCGUCCUUGGAGCUGGG
RNAcentral lists this long non-coding RNA (407 nucleotides) under Bos taurus (domestic cattle). Its description in RNAcentral is "long non-coding RNA NONBTAT012010". Lineage: Eukaryota; Metazoa; Chordata; Mammalia; Artiodactyla; Bovidae. The record is from RNAcentral.